RNAcentral lists this long non-coding RNA (459 nucleotides) under Rattus norvegicus (Norway rat). RNAcentral's name for it is "long non-coding RNA NONRATT033718". The record is from RNAcentral. Lineage: Eukaryota; Metazoa; Chordata; Mammalia; Rodentia; Muridae.
GCGAGAAACGCGCCGCGGGGCCUGAACUUGGGGCUCGCGGGGCCCGUGCCUCUGCGCCUCUGUCUCUCUUCCCAGCCCCCUUGGGUUCCCGAGACCCCUGAGUUUUUUUUGCAGAACCUUUGUGGGUGCCACCUGGGAAUCUGCCCUUCCAACAAGCCCCAGGAUUCGGAUGCUGCAGUCUCUACUAAGCUUCACCUGUUUGUCUCAGGUGUUACGACCUGGCCAUUAGCAGAGUCAGGAGUGAGUGGAGUGAAUGCACUACCAAUCCCGCCUGAGCUCUCCUCUCCCGAACCUAAGUCGGAGGCAGGUUCUGAGCGGGAUAGGUGCCUGGUACUAGAUAUAUGUUACCAGUGUGUAUCACAUGGUUUCUCAGAUGGAGCCCAGAGUGAGUGAGACAAAGAAGAAAAGUUAACACAGAAAAGCUUUGGAAUUCCUCUGAGAUCUGGAGCUGGAGAGAUG